GGCUGGUCUGAGUACAGUGGUAUUUACAACUAAUUGGUCACAACGUUACAGAUUUCUUUGUUCCUUCUUCAUGCCUACUACUUCACUUAGCCUUAA
This 96-nucleotide Y RNA is filed under the name Propithecus coquereli (Coquerel's sifaka). RNAcentral's name for it is "Y RNA (ENSPCOG00000010346.1)". It matches the Rfam family "Y RNA". Rfam says of the family: Y RNAs are components of the Ro ribonucleoprotein particle (Ro RNP), in association with Ro60 and La proteins. The Y RNAs and Ro60 and La proteins are well conserved, but the function of the Ro RNP is not known. Lineage: Eukaryota; Metazoa; Chordata; Mammalia; Primates; Indriidae. The record is from Rfam by way of RNAcentral.